CUGAGAUGGAGAUGAGUGUGCAGGGGUGUGUGGAGAGCUCUUGGGAAUAGCACCUUUAAAAAGCCAACAUGAACGGAGGAUUGGAAAGAGCGAAAGAGUAAUACAUCAGAAGUAGAUGUUUGCAGUGUGCUGAGUUUGACCAAAAUCAAAGCCGAAGCUGUCUAUUGGACGGGUAAAGUUUCUGCUACAAGGCGUUUUGGAAACCACAGAAGGGAAGAGCAUGACACCAGUUCUCCCCGAAAGAUCAAAGGGAGAUUCCGAUGCAGGUCUCCAGGCCGCUGAGUAAAGC
Long non-coding RNA from Homo sapiens (human), 289 nucleotides. RefSeq lists it as uncharacterized. The record is from RefSeq and is a predicted model, not a curated record. NCBI's taxonomy places the organism in Eukaryota, Metazoa, Chordata, Mammalia, Primates, Hominidae. The transcript has 3 exons.